CUUGGUCAUUUAGAGGAAGUAAAAGUCGUAACAAGGUUUCCGAGGUGAACCUGCGGAAGGAUCAUUACCGAGUUAGGGUCUUAUAGGCCCGCCUCCAACCCUUUGUUUACUACACCAUGUUGCUUUGGCGGGCCCGCCUUUGGGGCCGCCGGGGGUUUACAAGCCCCUGGUCAGUGUUCGCCAGUAGCCUAUUAAAUUCUUUUAUAAUUAUGUCGUCUGAGUAUAAAUAUAAAUCGUUAAACUUUCAACAACGGAUCUCUUGGUUCUGGCAUCGAUGAAGAACGCAGGAAAUGCGAUAAGUAAUGCGAAUUGCAGAAUUCAGUGAGUCAUCGAAUCUUGAACGCAUAUUGCGCCCUUUGGUAUUCCGAAGGGCAUGCCUGUUCGACGUCAUUAUCAACCAUCAAGCCUGGCUUGUCGUUGGACCUCUUUACCGCGAAAUAUGUGGUAGGUCCGAAAGAUAAUGACGGCGUCGUGUUUGACCCUGAUGCAACGAGCUUUUUAUAGCACGCAUUGAAGUGGUCGGCCGACCCGGCUUUAACCAUUAUUUUCUAAGGUUGACCUCGGAUCAGGUAGGAAUACCCCUGAACUUAAGCAUAUCAAUAAGCGGAGGA
Molecule: ribosomal RNA, 611 nt
Filed under: uncultured fungus
Lineage: Eukaryota; Fungi
Description: eukaryotic LSU rRNA
Rfam family: 5.8S ribosomal RNA (bases 240-390)
Source: RNAcentral